Molecule: small nuclear RNA, 124 nt
Filed under: Panthera leo (lion)
Lineage: Eukaryota; Metazoa; Chordata; Mammalia; Carnivora; Felidae
Description: U2 spliceosomal RNA (ENSPLOG00000001897.1)
Rfam family: U2 spliceosomal RNA
About the family: U2 is a small nuclear RNA (snRNA) component of the spliceosome (involved in pre-mRNA splicing). Complementary binding between U2 snRNA (in an area lying towards the 5' end but 3' to hairpin I) and the branchpoint sequence (BPS) of the intron results the bulging out of an unpaired adenosine, on the BPS, which initiates a nucleophilic attack at the intronic 5' splice site, thus starting the first of two transesterification reactions that mediate splicing.
Source: Rfam by way of RNAcentral
AUCGCUUCUCGGCCUUUUGGCUAAGAUCAAGUGUAGUAUCUGAAAUCAUUAUUAUACACUAUAUGUUAACUUGGAUUUAAAUAAAAUUAAAAAUUUUUUUAAAAGAAAAAAGACUGUAAGGCUC